GUUUAUAUAAUUUAAGAAAGAAUAUUACAUUGAAGCUGUAAAGGUGAUAAAUUAUAUCUGUAAAUA
Molecule: transfer RNA, 66 nt
Filed under: Trapezia rufopunctata
Lineage: Eukaryota; Metazoa; Arthropoda; Malacostraca; Decapoda; Trapeziidae
Description: tRNA-Phe
Source: RNAcentral